CUUCGUCGAUCUGCUGCGGGCAGAUGAAGUGGAUAUGGGAAUCGAUGGCGCCGGCCGUGACUAUCAUGCCUUCGCCGGCGAUGACUUCCGUGGCCGGGCCCACCACGAUCGUGAUUCCGGGCUGGAUGUCGGGGUUGCCGGCCUUGCCUAUGCCCGAAAUCAGGCCGUUCUUGAUGCCUAUGUCGGCCUUGACGAUGCCGGUGACGGCGUCGAUGAUCAGCGCGUUGGUGAUGACGGUAUCGAUGCAAUCGGCGCUCGAGCGCUGGCUUUGCCCCAUGCCGUCGCGUAU
This 289-nucleotide small RNA is filed under the name Pollutimonas bauzanensis. RNAcentral describes it as "Alcaligenaceae bacterium BZ59 5' ureB small RNA". It matches the Rfam family "5' ureB small RNA". Lineage: Bacteria; Pseudomonadati; Pseudomonadota; Betaproteobacteria; Burkholderiales; Alcaligenaceae. The record is from Rfam by way of RNAcentral.